Molecule: long non-coding RNA, 571 nt
Filed under: Sorghum bicolor (sorghum)
Lineage: Eukaryota; Viridiplantae; Streptophyta; Magnoliopsida; Poales; Poaceae
Description: long non-coding RNA (SBIC_LNC006955)
Source: RNAcentral
CGGGUACGUGGGUCCUUUUAGCGAAAAACUGACAUCCCUCGCAGUGUCGAACCAGUUUUUCUGCGUCGUUGACCGCGGUUGGCCAAUAAAAACCUGCUCGGAAGGCUUUUUCGACCAAUGUUCUGGAUGCGGCGUGAUUGCCGCAGGAUCCAGCAUGUAUGUCUUCUAGGAGCUUAAUACCAUCAUCUUGGGAUAUGCAUUUGAGCAGUACCUCAGAGCUUGUGUUCUUUCGCCUGAGUUUGCCGUCGACCAGGAUGUAAUUCUUUGACCGUCGAAUGAGGCGCUCGUUGUUGGGUAUUUUAAACGCAAAUAGAAAAAUCCGCAAGCGUACGGAUACCGAUGUAGCUUUCACCCGGGAGUAUUCCAGAGUAUCGAUUUUCCACAGAGAACGUGAGUGUACUAAUUAAGAAUCAAGAUCGCCCAAGCAUAACUAUAUAAUUAUUUUUGGUGGGAAGAGAGGAAGUUUCCUGAGAGUUCUCUAGUUGAUCUAAGAAUCAAGAAUUACUUCAAGAUUAUCUAUAUCGGGACAUCAGAGCACUAACCACAGAAAGAGAUGAGAAGGGGGCUAGGA